Molecule: ribosomal RNA, 446 nt
Filed under: uncultured bacterium
Lineage: Bacteria
Description: bacterial SSU rRNA
Rfam family: Bacterial small subunit ribosomal RNA
Source: RNAcentral
CCAGACUCCUACGGGAGGCAGCAGUAGGGAAUAUUGCUCAAUGGGGGGAACCCUGAUGCAGCGACGCCGCGUGGGUGAAGGAGUGCUUCGGCAUGUAAAGCCCUAUCGGCAGGGAAGAAGCAAGACGGUACCUGACUAAGAAGCCCCGGCUAACUACGUGCCAGCAGCCGCGGUAAUACGUAGGGGGCAAGCGUUAUCCGGAUUUACUGGGUGUAAAGGGAGCGUAGACGGCAGUGCAAGUCCGGAGUGAAAGCCCGGGGCUCAACCCUGGGACUGCUCUGGAAACUGUAAAGCUGGAGUGCGGGAGGGGCAGGCGGAAUUCCUGGUGUAGCGGUGAAAUGCGUAGAUAUCAGGAGGAACACCGGCGGCGAAGGCGGCCUGCUGGACCGUAACUGACGUUGAGGCUCGAAAGCGUGGGGAGCAAACAGGAUUAGAUACCCCUGUAA